CUCCCUGCGAGCUCUCCUUCCAACCAGGGCGUUGUUUGAGGUAAAGAUUGGUCUUGCUUAGCCCUGCAGCAGGGUGUAGGGGACAGUCCCAUAGGCUCAAAAGGCUCUACCUAGUAAGGCCUUCCUACCUCCAGGGACCUCUCCUGUGCUGCUAUUGCCCAGGGAGGAGGAAGGAUGAUGCUUCUCUGCUGUGACCUUUCUGCUAGGAAAGCUCUCAGUUGCUCACAGCCUGGAAUACAUAACGUGAUAUUUACUGGAAAGGUGACCUGCAUUAACUGCUAAGGUCAAGUGCACUGUUGGGGGAUGGAACCCUGCGACAAAGAAGCAGGAUUACAGCUACCCAUCCCCCAGGAGUGUGAACUGAAUCCAGAAAGGUUGAGAACCUUCUCUUGGGCAAUGUCCACAGCUUCCUGUCAUCGAUGGCGGCUUCCUUCACCUGCAAGUUUCCUGUCAGGAGUAAACAAAGCCCCGACAAAGUCAGUGAUGACUCUGCUGAACUAUUCCUGUAAACUCUAUCUUCUUGACACCUGAGGCCGAAGUUUCUACUGCCUUACCUUACCUCGUGUUCUGCCAAGCAUGAGUCUUUGGAGGGCCUCUGUAAAUGUGUCUGACCAACCCAACCGGCCAAUUCUGUUUGCAGAUUCCUGAGCAGCCCCAUGGUGCAAGGGAGGACUGAGAGCCUAGGCAUCAGUAUGCUGCCGUGGAGAAACGAGCGGCCCACAUGGGUACAGACAGAGCUCGAGCGUCCUCUGUUCUCAUAGCCCUGGCUUGCAAGCGCUCCAUGGAGACUGUCCCUGCCUGGGACAGCAGGUGUGUGUGUCAGCUGUACGUGUGACAGUGGCCCUGCUAAGCGGAUCGGUCUUCCCGGACGCGGGUCCUGCCUUCUGAGCCACAGCUCCUUCCUGUCCCCUGCUUUCUUGUGGCUCUCACUGAGGCCGCACAUGUUUGACAAGAGGAGGGAGACCAGCUUCCAGAACUCGAGACCCGAUCGCAUUCUGUCCUCACCGCUAACGGAGUUGUCCCUUCUCCCGUGAUGCUCAGCUCAUGCUCAGUGGUCUUUGUCUUUGAGUUACUGUAGCCUGGGUGAUGCCCCUUCUGGGAGAUUGUGGGCAGCCGCGUCCUCUCUCCUGGUAGAGGGCCAUAAAAGCCCUCUUGGCUCCAUGGUGUCCUCAGGUAGAUUGACUUCCAUCCUCCAUCACUGUCAAGAUGACCAAAGCCACCAUCUUUGAAAGUGUCCAGAAGGGGCUUGGGAGUGUCCCUGAGCUGCAGUGGGGAGCAGCGCAUUGUAAGAUCCAGUGUAUUAAAAAACCUCAACUGAGCCUUGAGGCUUCGGCUCCAGAUGAAGUGCUGCCUCUUCGGGUAUUUAUCACGGUCUGUGCGCCACCUAGAGGCCUCUGUCUGAAACUCGUCCUACGGCCAACCCGGCUGUCCCCAGCAGAAGACUGAACUCAGAGUAUGCUUUGUUUUUGUCCCCGUCUUUCCAAAUUUGGGAUGUUGUGAUCCCACAUACUCCUCUCAGCACUCCUGGAUGUGGAGGAGGCUAGGCCCCCCCGAGGCCUUUCCAGUAUGUCCCAGCUGCCAGCUGUACCAAAGCAGAAGACUGUUCUAAUGUUUUCUCAGCAAGGAAGGAUCUAAGACUGAUGAGGGGAUGUAGUGGGACUUCCCAGUCCCCGUGCCCCCCCCCACCACACACACACCCGGGAGCUGUCCACCCACACAUGAGCAGCCCUCCCAGCCAUGAUUUUCCCAUGAGUCCCCAGGACUGAAGACCCCUUCCCAUGAGUCACCCUCCCAGGACCGGGUCUUUUCUACACAACUCACAUUAGCAGCCGUCCACAGCAGGUGACGCUGCUCCAGGAACGCUGACACCAAACCAGUAGUGAGCAUGCUCCUUGGUCUGCUUCCCCACGGUAAAGUGCGAACAAUACAAAAUGCACCGUUUGGGCCAUCUUUUGAUGGACGGCUUACAGGGAUUCAGCGUCUUCUCAAUGCUCUGUCGCCAUCAUGGCUACCCAUUCCCAGACAUUUCACUGAACUCCAAACAAAAAACUCUGCCCCAUGAAACACCAAUUCCCCCCGUACUUCAUCCUCCCCAGCGCCUAGGGACCUCUGUCUGUCUUCCUGUCUCUCUGGACUUGCCUAUUCCAGGUAUUGCACACAAGUGAUAUCAAAUUUAGCCGAGUAAUUUUAGUUGUGGCCAAUUUACUUCAGCUUUAUAGGCCUGGCUUCCCUUUCCACCCUCUCCGUAAACAAAACAGGAAAAGAAGGAACAUAACUGACUUAACCUUGCUGGCGCCCCACCCUGGCCACACUCUCUGGCUGGGUGUGAUCCUGGAAAUGGAUUCAGCCAUCUGGCAAGAAGUCUCCGGGCAGAAGAGUCCAUUGUUUGAAGCUUAGAGGUCUUAAUGUCUUAGCUGGCAUUUCCUGGCCUGGCUUUAAAGGGAUCCAAAGAAGGCUGUCACUGUGUGUUAUAGACUAACAAAGAAACGCGCACAGAGGCUCAUAUUUCAAAGGUUUGGUCCAUCUGGUGGCAGUGUUUUGGGAGAUUUUGGAGGUGAGGCCUAGCUGGGUACAGGCCCUCACGGGAACAUUAUCACCUCUGGUCUCAUUCUCUGCCCCUGAUGCAGCUGCCUCGAUGUAACUGGAUUUCUCCACCACCACCCCCCACCGCAAUGGACUGAACCAUCCUAAAUCAUGCGCCCCAAUAAAGCCCCUCUCCUUCAAACUGCUUUUCUCAGGCUCUUGGUCAUAGCAAUACAAAGGUAACUAAUACUCUGUGAGAGAUGACAGGGGGCUGGCUGCCGUGAUAUCUUGUUUGUACUCUAGCAAGUAAAGCUUGCCUGAAGAUCAGAGGGCGAAGCUAGCCUCUAGCUAACCAUAGAGGUCUGGAGGUUUGUACAGACGGACAGGAAGUGAGAUGGCUGGGCAGAGAGAGGACUACAGGCUGGAGGGCAGAGGAACUCGGGGCUCUUUUCUGUCUGAGGAUGUCAUAGAGGUAAGAGCUCUGAUCGUUCAAGCGUUCACCCCCUGAUAACCGACUCCAGGUUUUUGUUAUUAAGAUCAAUUAGAAUUUGUGCUACAGUUGGCCCAGCACAAAUGUUGGUAAGGAGGGAAUCUGGCCAUGGGGGCUUGAGGCCUUGAGGGCCAGGGCUCAUUUGGUGUCAGGUGCAUCCUGGUCGGAGGGUGAUCCAAUGGGUUGUCUGUUCCUAAAAGACCAUAUGAGAUGUUUUCCCUGAUGAUGCCUGGUCAAAUUACAUACCUGUGCAAUGGUGCACUGGGAGCAUUAACUACAUAAGGAAUUUUGUGUCCUUUAUGUCAAAAGUGGAGACUUUCUCAUUCCAGGCCUUUCAGGCACUAACAGCCCGAAUUCCACCCAGAUGUCUUUGUAUUUAUGGUUAUUAAAACUUCCUUUUUAAAAAUUUCCACUUUUGUCCAACCUAACAGAAAGGUUAAAAAUUACAACAUGAGCAGAACGUGGGAGGUACUUAAGAAUGAAAAUAGGGGUAAAUUGAAAUCAAUAAAGUUUUGUAGAUUA
Mesocricetus auratus (golden hamster) is the source of this 3535-nucleotide long non-coding RNA. RefSeq lists it as uncharacterized. The transcript is spliced from 2 exons. The record is from RefSeq and is a predicted model, not a curated record. Lineage: Eukaryota; Metazoa; Chordata; Mammalia; Rodentia; Cricetidae.